This is a long non-coding RNA of Triticum dicoccoides, 572 nucleotides long. RefSeq lists it as uncharacterized. The record is from RefSeq and is a predicted model, not a curated record. NCBI's taxonomy places the organism in Eukaryota, Viridiplantae, Streptophyta, Magnoliopsida, Poales, Poaceae. The transcript is spliced from 2 exons.
UCUCUCCAAACCAUAGUCUCUGUCUCUCUCCCUCACUACAACCAGCGUCUCCGGCCAUCAGAUGGGUUGGAGCACAAGGCAGCGCUCACGUCGCCAUGGGGUUGAGCUGCACGGGAGGGGGAUAAGGUCGGGUAGGAGGCAAGGCAAAAUGUUUUUCUCUGAAGCCUGGGCAUAUUGGUUGUCUGGUUGGCUCUUUUUACUAGCAGGAAGAUAACUACUACGUGUUGCUCAGUUAUUAGCAGAUUUGAGUGUAUGACUGAUCUUAUGUUCACCCAAACUUAAAGGUUUCUAAACACUAGGCUCUUGGGACUUAUUUCUAAGGGUUAGGUUCUUUUGGAUUCAUGUACUCUGAUGCUACAGCCUAGGUAAAGCUCCUUCACAAUAGUGUUUAAAGCUUAAAUUGACGACUCCACUAGAGUUCAAGCAUUCAGCUCUCUGCUCUGUGUAUUACCAAGUGUUCUAUGUACUGCUUCAUAGUCCCAAUGUGACUUAUUCGUUUUCUUUGCUGCCGGUGAUAUUUAAUAUUCAGUCAGAUCUUGGAGGAAAUGUAAAAUAUACCAGUACUCCCAUCU